RNAcentral lists this ribosomal RNA (423 nucleotides) under uncultured bacterium. Its description in RNAcentral is "partial 16S ribosomal RNA". It matches the Rfam family "Bacterial small subunit ribosomal RNA", at positions 360 to 775 of the family's 1533-position model. The record is from RNAcentral.
AAUUUUGGACAAUGGGGGCAACCCUGUACCAGCCAUGCCGCGUGUGUGAAGAAGGUCUUCGGCUUGUAAAGCCCCUUAAGGUGGGAGGAAGGGCAAUAAGUUAAUACCUUGCUGUUUUGACGUACCCGCCAGACUAAGCACCGGCUACCUUCGUGCAAGCCGCCGCGGUAAUACGAAGGGUGCAAGCGUUAAUCGGAAUUACUGGGCGUAAAGGGAGCGGAGGUGGUUUGUUAAGUUGGAAGGAAAUGCCACAGGCUAAACCUGAGAACUGCUUUCAAAACUGGCAAUCUAGAGUAUGGCAGAGGGUGGUGGAAUUUCCUGUGUACCGGUUAAAUGCGUAGAUAUAGGAAGGAACACCAGUGACGAAGGCGACCGCCUGAGCUAAUACUAACACUGAGGUGCGAAAGCGUGGGGAGCAAACAG